CACAAGCGGUGGAUGAUGUGGAUUAAUUCGAUGCAACGCGAAAAACCUUACCUACCCUUGACAUGUCCGGAAUCCUGCAGAGAUGCGGGAGUGCCCGAAAGGGAAUCGGAACACAGGUGCUGCAUGGCUGUCGUCAGCUCGUGUCGUGAGAUGUUGGGUUAAGUCCCGCAACGAGCGCAACCCUUAUCAUUAGUUGCUACGCAAGGGCACUCUAAUGAGACUGCCGGUGACAAACCGGAGGAAGGUGGGGAUGACGUCAAGUCCUCAUGGCCCUUAUGGGUAGGGCUUCACACGUCAUACAAUGGUCGGUACAGAGGGUUGCCAAGCCGCGAGGUGGAGCCAAUCCCAGAAAGCCGAUCAUAGUCCGGAUUGUUCUCUGCAACUCGAGAGCAUGAAGUCGGAAUCGCUAGUAAUCGUGGAUCAGCAUGUCACGGUGAAUACGUUCCCGGGUCUU
RNAcentral lists this ribosomal RNA (454 nucleotides) under uncultured Thiobacillus sp. RNAcentral describes it as "bacterial SSU rRNA". It matches the Rfam family "Bacterial small subunit ribosomal RNA", at positions 924 to 1382 of the family's 1533-position model. The record is from RNAcentral. Lineage: Bacteria; Pseudomonadati; Pseudomonadota; Betaproteobacteria; Nitrosomonadales; Thiobacillaceae.